UAGUCUUUAUUUCAGCCAAUCAGAGAGCAGCACUACUGAAAUAGAACUUCCAGGACGUAACAGCGUGUCACACAUGUGAUGUCAUAACCAUUGUCCACCAGAGAGUAGCACUGAGCAGAAAUAACACUGCUCCUGUUCAUUCUUCAUCAGUGAGGGGCCGGUGCUGGACACUGUAAUGACGCGGGAAUGCAAAGUCAUGCACAUGACUGUGACUGAUGCACUAUCUCCAGGACAUGGAGUAGCAUUUCCGCACCUACAGCAAGACGUUGGAUGAAGGCACAGCCCCAGAAAUAACACUGGUCCUGUUCAUUCUUCAUCAGUGAGGGGCCGGUGCUGGACACUGUAGGGACGCGGGAAUGCAAAGUCAUGCACAUGACUGUGACUGAUGCACUAUCUCCAGGACAUGGAGUAGCAUUUCCAGACCUACAGCAAGACGUUGGAUGAAGGCACAGCCCCAGGAAUCACGCACAUACACAGACACAUUUGCCCAAAUUAUAGAGGUAACCUCCUUUAGUAUGCCCAGAGGAAGGGCAGUACAGUAGCCAUGGAUUCCCUACAGGUUUCCUCCCCUCUGGAGGUUUUUCCUGUCCUGAGUAUUAGUUACUGUACGCUCUUUGUGAGUGAUGGGAGGUUACAAAAAAUCCCCUACACAAACAUUUUAAUAAUAAAUAAAAUUCCCCUUUUUUUAAA
Hyla sarda is the source of this 690-nucleotide long non-coding RNA. RefSeq lists it as uncharacterized. The record is from RefSeq and is a predicted model, not a curated record. NCBI's taxonomy places the organism in Eukaryota, Metazoa, Chordata, Amphibia, Anura, Hylidae. The transcript has 4 exons.